RNAcentral lists this ribosomal RNA (497 nucleotides) under uncultured bacterium. Its description in RNAcentral is "partial 16S ribosomal RNA". It matches the Rfam family "Bacterial small subunit ribosomal RNA", at positions 28 to 507 of the family's 1533-position model. The record is from RNAcentral.
GAUGAACGCUGGCGGCGUGCCUAAUACAUGCAAGUCGAGCGAACGGACGAGAAGCUUGCUUCUCUGAUGUUAGCGGCGGACGGGUGAGUAACACGUGGAUAACCUACCUAUAAGACUGGGAUAACUUCGGGAAACCGGAGCUAACACCGGAUAAUAUUUUGAACCGCAUGGUUCAAAAGUGAAAGACGGUCUUGCUGUCACUUAUAGAUGGAUCCGCGCUGCAUUAGCUAGUUGGUAAGGUAACGGCUUACCAAGGCAACGAUGCAUAGCCGACCUGAGAGGGUGAUCGGCCACACUGGAACUGGAACACGGUCCAGACUCCUGCGGGAGGCAGCAGUAGGGAAUCUUCCGCAGUGGGCGAGAGCCUGACGGAGCGACGCCGCGUGAGUGAUGAAGGUCUUCGGAUCGUAAAACUCUGUUAUUAGGGAAGAACAUAUGUGUAAGUAGCUGUGCACAUCUUGACGGUACCUAAUCAGAAAGCCACGGCUAACUACGUG